Molecule: long non-coding RNA, 590 nt
Organism: Lynx canadensis (Canada lynx)
Lineage: Eukaryota; Metazoa; Chordata; Mammalia; Carnivora; Felidae
Exons: 3
Source: RefSeq, a predicted model, not a curated record
UGUGUGUAUAUAUGUGUACAGUAGAAUAUUAUUUAGCCAUGAGAAAGAAGGAAAUCCUGCCAUUUGCAACAACAACACGGAUAGAUCCUGAGGGCAUGAUGCUAAGAAAUAAAGGUUAAAAAAAAAAAGAAAAUUAUAGAUGAUGCAUUGCAGGGGCAAAGAAAGGCAUGACAGUCAUCAAUGGACACAAUUUCAAAGAAAUGGAAUUGGCACCAUGUCAAAAAAAUUGGUGAAUCUACAGUUACACAUAUUAAGUGAAACUAAAAUGUAUAAGGUACUAUUAUUACCAUUUCCAUUUAUACGAGAGGCACAAAGAGGCUAAGUAUCUUGCCCGUGCGUUCAGCUGGAGUAUAUCUCGACGGAGGACAAGGACUUACAAACUUGUGCGUGUGUUAUGUGGAGGUGGAAGCUUUCCACAAUGAAGGAGUUUUAGUUCAUUCGUCCACCAAACGAGGACUGAAGUACUACUAUCUCUUGGUAGUGAUAUUGGGCCUUUUAAAUGAAGAGUCAAUAGUGCGCCUGGAACAUAGCAAUCACUAAAUUAAAAAAAAAAAAAAUUGAGAGGGAGGAAGGGCAGAGAGAGGGACAGA